GACGAACGCUGGCGGCGUGCUUAACACAUGCAAGUCGAACGGAAAGGCUCCAGCUUGCUGGAGUACUCGAGUGGCGAACGGGUGAGUAACACGUGGGUAAUCUGCCCUGCACUCUGGGAUAAGCCUGGGAAACUGGGUCUAAUACUGGAUAUGACCUUUCUCCUUAUGGGGUUUGGUGGAAAGUUUUUCGGUGUAGGAUAAGCCCGCGGCCUAUCAGCUUGUUGGUGGGGUGAUGGCCUACCAAGGCGACGACGGGUAGCCGGCCUGAGAGGGUGAUCGGCCACAUUGGGACUGAGAUACGGCCCAGACUCCUACGGGAGGCAGCAGUGGGGAAUAUUGCACAAUGGGCGGAAGCCUGAUGCAGCGACGCCGCGUGAGGGAUGACGGCCUUCGGGUUGUAAACCUCUUUCAGCAGGGACGAAGCGUAAGUGACGGUACCUGCAGAAGAAGCACCGGCUAACUACGUG
This 467-nucleotide ribosomal RNA is filed under the name uncultured bacterium. RNAcentral's name for it is "partial 16S ribosomal RNA". It matches the Rfam family "Bacterial small subunit ribosomal RNA", at positions 28 to 507 of the family's 1533-position model. The record is from RNAcentral.